RNAcentral lists this ribosomal RNA (445 nucleotides) under uncultured bacterium. Its description in RNAcentral is "partial 16S ribosomal RNA". It matches the Rfam family "Bacterial small subunit ribosomal RNA", at positions 29 to 507 of the family's 1533-position model. The record is from RNAcentral.
AACGAACGCUGGCGGCAGGCUUAACACAUGCCAGUCGAACGAGCUGGCGGCUUCGGUCCCCGAUGCUCGUGGCGCACGGGCGAGUAACACGUGGGAAUAUGCCCUUUCGUACGGAAUAACCAAGGGACACUUUGGCUAAUACCGUAUACGCCCAUCGGUGGAAAGAUUUAUCGCUAUAGGAUUAGCCCGCGUCUGAUUAGGUAGUUGGUGAGGUAAUGGCUCACCAAGCCGACGAUCAGUAGCUGGUCUGAGAGGAUGAGCAGCCACACUGGGACUGAGACACAGCCGAGAAUCCCACGGGAGGCAGCAGUGGGGAAUAUUGGACAAUCGGGGCAACCAUGAUGCAGCCAGGCCGGGUGAGUGAAGAAGGCCUUCGGGAUGAAAAGCUCUUUCGACGGGGACGAUGAUGACGGUACCCGUAUAAGAAGCCCCGGCAAACUUCGUG